AUUAACGCUGGCGGCGUGCCUAAUGCAUGCUAGUCGAGCGCACGGACGCGAAGCUUCCUUCUCUUAUGUUAUCGUCGGACGGGUGUGUAACACGUUGCUAACCUACCUAUAAGACUGGGAUAACUUCGGGAAACCGGAGCUAAUACCGGAUAAUAUUUUGAACCGCAUGGUUCAAAAGUGAAAGACGGUCUUGCUGUCACUUAUAGAUGGAUCCGCGCUGCAUUAGCUAGUUGGUAAGGUAACGGCUUACCAAGGCAACGAUGCAUAGCCGACCUGAGAGGGUGAUCGGCCACACUGGAACUGAGACACGGUCCAGACUCCUACGGGAAGCAGCACUCGGGACUCUUCCGCAAUGGGCGAAAGCCUGACGGAGCCACGGCGUGUGAGUGAUGAAAAACUGCGGGUUGUAAAACUCUGUAAUAAGACAACAACAUACAUGUAAGUAACUGUUCAUAGCGAGACGGUUCAAAAACAGACUGCCACGGCUGUCUUCAUU
RNAcentral lists this ribosomal RNA (496 nucleotides) under uncultured bacterium. RNAcentral's name for it is "partial 16S ribosomal RNA". It matches the Rfam family "Bacterial small subunit ribosomal RNA", at positions 29 to 515 of the family's 1533-position model. The record is from RNAcentral.